RNAcentral lists this ribosomal RNA (500 nucleotides) under uncultured bacterium. RNAcentral describes it as "partial 16S ribosomal RNA". It matches the Rfam family "Bacterial small subunit ribosomal RNA", at positions 30 to 523 of the family's 1533-position model. The record is from RNAcentral.
AUUGAACGCUGGCGGAAUGCUUUACACAUGCAAGUCGAACGGCAGCACGGACUUCGGUCUGGUGGCGAGUGGCGAACGGGUGAGUAAUGUAUCGGAACGUGCCCAGUCGUGGGGGAUAACGUAGUGAAAAUUACGCUAAUACCGCAUACGAUCUAUGGAUGAAAGCGGGGGAUCGCAAGACCUCGCGCGAUUGGAGCGGCCGAUAUCAGAUUAGGUAGUUGGUGGGGUAAAGGCCCACCAAGCCAACGAUCUGUAGCUGGUCUGAGAGGACGCCCAGCCACACUGGAACUGAGAACAGGUCCAGACUCCUACGGGAGGCAGCAGUGGGGAAUUGUGAACAAUGGGCGAAAGCCUGAUCCAGCCAUUCCGCGUGCAGGAUGAAGGCCCUCGGGUUGUAAACUGCUUUUGUACAGAACGAAAAGGUUUCUACUAAUACUAGGAGCUCAUGACGGUACUGUAAGAAUAAGCACCGGCUAACUACGUGCCAGCCGCCGCCGUAA